GCAGCUGCGGCAACAGCAGCGGCAACAGCAGCAGCAGCAGCGGCAACAGCAGCAGCAGCAACAGCAGCAGCAACA
This 75-nucleotide microRNA precursor is filed under the name Petromyzon marinus (sea lamprey). Its description in RNAcentral is "miRNA (ENSPMAG00000010458.1)". The record is from RNAcentral. Lineage: Eukaryota; Metazoa; Chordata; Hyperoartia; Petromyzontiformes; Petromyzontidae.